Long non-coding RNA from Anopheles gambiae (African malaria mosquito), 2997 nucleotides. RefSeq lists it as uncharacterized. NCBI's taxonomy places the organism in Eukaryota, Metazoa, Arthropoda, Insecta, Diptera, Culicidae. The record is from RefSeq and is a predicted model, not a curated record. The transcript has 2 exons.
GCAUUUGACGGUGCUCGUAGUAGCACAAAAGAACGCAGGUGGCGUGAUUGUAAAAAAAACGUUACAAAAAGACGGCGCGCGUGUUGAGCAAAUAAGUUCGGUGUGCGUGAAGUAAAGGUGUAGUGUGAAGUAAGCGAAAUGGCGGAAGAAAGAGUGUUGAACCUGAUACAAGACUAUACGCGCACGGAACUCAUGCGGUUAUGUGAGUUGAAAAGUCUACCUGCAACGGGAACAAAGGAAGAGAUGGCGAUACAAUUGAUGGAAUAUGAUCAGCAAACAUCAAAAAGUGGAUCGGCUGACAUAGAGCAAUUUCAUGAUGUCGAUUCAGAAUCAGUUCAAGAUUCGGGACAGGCAUCAGGUGUACAUGAAAUGGAUUCGGCGGUAAAAACGUUAAUGCGUCCUUAUUCGUUUAGAGAUGUAGAGGAAAGUAUUCUUACGUACGGUUCCGAUAAGACGAUCGAUUUCUGUGUGUGGAUGAAUGAAUUUGAAGCGGUUGCGCGAAUGGCAAAAUGGGCCGAUGAACAAAAAGUCAUCAUGUGUCGCAAGAAAAUGACCGGCAGUGCGCGGAAUUUCUUACUCACGAUUUGCAACAUAACGUCAUUUUCGGCAUUGAAAAAAGCACUUUAGGUCGAGUUUGGGAAAAGAGUGCGUCGCACUGAUGUUCAUCGCCAGCUAGCAACAUGUCGACGUGCAAAGGACGAGACGGCGCUUGAUUUUAUCUAUAGAAUGCAACGCAUUGCUAAACAGAUAGAUUUGGACGAGGAGAGCAUAUGUGAGUACAUCAUAGAUGGGAUUACGGAAGACGAAACGCAGAGAGCUGCUUUAUAUGAAGUGCGUACGAUCAGUGCUUUAAAAGUGAAAAUUCAAUUCCGAGAGCGUGCUAUUCAGAAAGGAGCGACCCGAAAAACAUUCAGAGCUUCGCAGAAUACCGUCGCCAAACAAAAACGAUGAGCACAAAAGUUCGUUUUUAUAAUUGUAGUGAAACCGGUCAUUGUAGUUCUGAGUGUGUGCGUAAGAACAGCGGACCGAAAUGUUUCAAGUGUGGUGAGUUUGGACAUGUGUCGUCGAAAUGCACAAUAAAAGAUGAUUGAGCGACCAACCAACAAAACGUGUUACUGGUGAAAAAGCUUCCAAGUAUUUCAGUAAGAAUAGCGAGCGAAAAAUAUAAUGUGGCUGUCGACACAGGUAGUGAAGUGACAUUGUUACGAUCAGACGUGCAUAAGCUGAUUCCAAACAAUCUGCAGAAGUGGAGCCCAACGACACAAAGGCUUUACGGUCUGGGUGGCAAAGUAACAAACACUUCAAGAGAAGCUAUUGUCUUUGCAACUGUCGGCGAAGCAGAAUAUGAGGUAAGAUUUGACAUUGUUCCUGAUGCGGCACUUGAGGUACCGAUGUUAUUAGGAAUGAAUUUCCUUAGAAGUGUUGAUUUUGUGAUUACCAAUACGGGCGUAACGGUACAGCGUAAAAAAGUAGAUAAAAGCGAGACAAGUGGUACAGGAAAUGAUGAAAACGUGGAAGAGAAUCCAUCGUGGAUUUUUCAAAUUUCAUGUGAACGUGAUGAGUUGGAUGUUCCGUAUGAGUGGCGACAAGAGGUAGCGAAUAUAGUGAACAAUUAUGUACCCGUCGGAAAAGUGAAUUCCAAUUGUAAGCUAAAUAUUGUGGUGCAGGACAAUAGUGUUGUUCGGAUAAAUCCGCGUAGGUUGGCUCCGUUGGAAAGAAAAUUGUUCGGGAGAAGAUCGAACAAUGGUUUCGUGACGAUAUUAUUCGACCAGAAAGUGCAUUCGCGAGUGCAGUGGUAGUGGUUCCGAAAAAGACGGUUCUCAUUGGGUGUGCAUCGACUAUCAUGAGAUAAACAAGAGAAUCGUUCGUGAUCCCUAUCCUAUGCCGAAUAUAGAGGAUCAAAUUGAUCAGCUUGCUGAUGCUAGAGUGUACACCACUUUAGAUUUGAAGAACUCAUACUUCCACGUACCGGUAAAGCAAGAAUGUAGAAAGUACACACCCUUUGUAACAUCAGAAGGGCAGUACGAGUUUAUGCGUGCACCGUUUGAGCUUUGUACGAGUGGUAGUGCGUUGGGGAGAUUUAUCAGUUCAGUGUUCCGGAACUUGAUAAAUGAAGGAGUAAUGUUGGUGUUUGUCGAUGAUGUCAUCAUCCCAUCGCGAGACGAGGAGCAGGGGCUAGCAGCGAUCAGGCGUGUGUUGCAUGUAGCGCAAAGUGCGGGCCUGAAAUUUAAUUGGAAGAAAUGCGUAUUCCUUCAACGACGUGUCGAGUAUCUGGGAUACCAAAUCUACGAAGGGCGAAUCGAACCAUCGUCGCAGAAAGUGGAAAAGCGCAUGAUCACAUGAUCCAGUCAUCGAGUUUGCUGUGCUCCGCUUUGCCUCAUACCGAAUCCAGCAUCCUCAUGACAUGCCUCAGCCAUCGUAUCCUGCCAGCCUUCGCUACCGUCAGCAUCCGCAAGCUCUUGGGUCAUCCUUCUUCUCGACGCUACAUGCUUGAACACACCGCUAAAUAUGACCAGGAGGAUGCGUCUCUCACGAAUAGAGCGUUUGCAUCCUCCGCUAGGAUGGUCCAAGACUCCUGUCCAUAGAGGACCACCGGGCGAAUCAUAUACGAUAUAUCUCACAUUUCUUGUAGGCUCGUGACUUCUGGCUCUCAGCAGUCAAUGAAGCCGUUGUCCGAAGUAACUCAAGAUAGCAUUAUAAUGCAUAUUUUACAGUUUAGAGAAGGUUACCACUUGCAGUGAUUAGUUACUUGUUAAUUAAGAUAACUGAUAAUUAGUGUUAUUUUUUCAACCGUGGCUAAUGAUGAUGAAAGCUAGUGUAUAUGUAUUUUGUUGUUUUUGUUUGGAUGCUGCCUCAAAUGCGUGUUGAAUUACUGCAGGAAUGUCUGUUUUCGUCAUUUAAUAAAGACCAGCAUAGAAUACGUAUCUUGGAAAGCUGAAUAGUUUGCAAGCAAGAGUUUAUGAAAAUAAAAAUUAAAAUUUUUUACCUUACAUAAAA